UCCCCGGUAGCUCAGUGGUAGAGCAGUUGACUGUUAAUCAAUUGGUCGCUGGUUCGAAUCCGGCCCGGGGAGCCA
This 75-nucleotide transfer RNA is filed under the name Phyllobacteriaceae bacterium. RNAcentral's name for it is "tRNA-Asn". It matches the Rfam family "tRNA". From Rfam's summary of the family: Transfer RNA (tRNA) molecules are approximately 80 nucleotides in length. Their secondary structure includes four short double-helical elements and three loops (D, anti-codon, and T loops). RNAcentral also lists the same sequence under 16 other names. The record is from RNAcentral. Lineage: Bacteria; Pseudomonadati; Pseudomonadota; Alphaproteobacteria; Hyphomicrobiales; Phyllobacteriaceae.